UUUCCGUAGGUGAACCUGCGGAAGGAUCAUUCAUAAUAAGUGUUUUACUGCACUUUUUAAAAAUAGUACUCACCUUGCGUGCAAUGUUGUGUUUCUUUUCGGAGAAACACCUACACCAACCUAUAACCUUGAACCACUUUGUCUGAAAAACUAUUAUGAAUACUUAAUUCAAAAUACAACUUUCAACAACGGAUCUCUUGGCUCUC
Molecule: unclassified non-coding RNA, 206 nt
Filed under: plant metagenome
Description: partial contains small subunit ribosomal RNA, internal transcribed spacer 1, and 5.8S ribosomal RNA
Source: RNAcentral